AGAAUCAACGCUGGCGGCGUGCCUAACACAUGCAAGUCGCACGAGAAAGGGGAGCAAUCCCUGAGUAAAGUGGCGCACGGGUGAGUAACACGUGAAUGAUCUACCUCCGAGUGGGGAAUAACCAAAGAAAUUUUGGCUAAUACCGCAUAACACUUACGAGUCAAAGCAGCAAUGCGCUUGGAGAGGAGUUCGCGGCAGAUUAGCUAGUUGGCGGGGUAAUGGCCCACCAAGGCGAUGAUCUGUAUCCGGCCUGAGAGGGCGCACGGACACACUGGAACUGAAACACGGUCCAGACUCCUACGGAGGCAGCAGUGGGGAAUUUUGCGCAAUGGGGGAAACCCUGACGCAGCAACGCCGCGUGGAGGAUGAAGCCCCUUGGGGUGUAAACUCCUUUCGAUCGGGAAGAUAAUGACGGUACCGAUAUAAGAAGCCCGGCUAACUUCGCGCCAGCAGCCGC
This 457-nucleotide ribosomal RNA is filed under the name uncultured bacterium. RNAcentral describes it as "SSU rRNA". It matches the Rfam family "Bacterial small subunit ribosomal RNA", at positions 26 to 518 of the family's 1533-position model. The record is from RNAcentral.